RNAcentral lists this unclassified non-coding RNA (224 nucleotides) under plant metagenome. RNAcentral describes it as "partial contains small subunit ribosomal RNA, internal transcribed spacer 1, and 5.8S ribosomal RNA". The record is from RNAcentral.
UUUCCGUAGGUGAACCUGCGGAAGGAUCAUUAAUGAGAACGUGCCCUUCGGGGUAGAUCUCCCACCCUGUGUUUACACUACCUUUGUUGCUUUGGCAGGCCCGCCCUCGGGCCGCCGGCUCCGGCUGGCCAGCGUCUGCUAGAGGAUUCAAAACCCUUUGUUUUUUUUGCCGUCUGAGUACUAUACAAUAGUUAAAACUUUCAACAACGGAUCUCUUGGUUCUG